NNNANGNNGNNAUGUAGCUUGCUCCCUGAUGUUAGCGGCGGACGGGUGAGUAACACGUGGGUAACCUGCCUGUAAGACUGGGAUAACUCCGGGAAACCGGAGCUAAUACCGGAUAGUUCCUUGAACCGCAUGGUUCAAGGAUGAAAGACGGUUUCGGCUGUCACUUACAGAUGGACCCGCGGCGCAUUAGCUAGUUGGUGGGGUAAUGGCUCACCAAGGCGACGAUGCGUAGCCGACCUGAGAGGGUGAUCGGCCACACUGGGACUGAGACACGGCCCAGACUCCUACGGGAGGCAGCAGUAGGGAAUCUUCCGCAAUGGACGAAAGUCUGACGGAGCAACGCCGCGUGAGUGAUGAAGGUUUUCGGAUCGUAAAGCUCUGUUGUUAGGGAAGAACAAGUGCGAGAGUAACUGCUCGCACCUUGACGGUACCUAACCAGAAAGCCACGGCUAACUACGUGCCAGCAGCCGCGGAAUUACGUAGGA
Molecule: ribosomal RNA, 485 nt
Filed under: Bacillus pumilus
Lineage: Bacteria; Bacillati; Bacillota; Bacilli; Caryophanales; Bacillaceae
Description: bacterial SSU rRNA
Rfam family: Bacterial small subunit ribosomal RNA
Source: RNAcentral